RNAcentral lists this long non-coding RNA (305 nucleotides) under Mustela putorius furo (domestic ferret). RNAcentral describes it as "lncRNA (ENSMPUG00000026293.1)". Lineage: Eukaryota; Metazoa; Chordata; Mammalia; Carnivora; Mustelidae. The record is from RNAcentral.
GGUGGCCGAGCACCCAGGUUAUGGAACCAGACCAGCUGGGAGCAGCCCCAACCCCACCACCUACCAGCACUGCGGGGCCUUGGACACACUGCCUAGUGUGACUUGAUUUCCCCUAUCAGGACAAUGGAAAGCAUCCUCCAGGAUCACAGGCAGUCGGAAGGCCGUGUUUGCAUCCUAACGUUUCAGUGUCUCAGUUUUUCUACAGAUGCAUCGCUCCCCCUCCUAGUGGAGCUGUAGGGAGGCUCAGCUAAGGCAGGCAAAGGUCCAGGAAUGAGGGGGAAGCUAGGAAGUCUAAUAAAUAAAGC